This 492-nucleotide ribosomal RNA is filed under the name Triticum aestivum (bread wheat). RNAcentral describes it as "partial small subunit ribosomal RNA". Lineage: Eukaryota; Viridiplantae; Streptophyta; Magnoliopsida; Poales; Poaceae. The record is from RNAcentral.
AUGGUUGGCGAGUCCAAGGCCGUCUCUAUCCAGGCCUCCGUGGUCGAGGCGAACUGCACUAACAUCGAUGUCUGCCCUGAACUGUUUGCAUCUAAAAGCUCUUGUGACGAUGGAAAGUCUACCUCCAAGGGACCAAAAAAGAAAAUCGGUCCUAAAAGAUCUUCGCCUGACACAUCUACUCACGAUGACAGUGAAGUAUAUCAAGCUGGUGCUAAAAGAAGGACUCUUAACCCCUCUAUUCCUCAUAAGGAGAGCUUGGAGUCUGAAGAUUUUUCUGCAAAGUUUAUCUUGGACAUGAUUCUCAAAGAAGAUACAGAUGUGCAUGCUUCAUAUCUUCUACACGCUUAUGCAAAGCAGGAUUUUAUUCAUAUUUUGAUGAGCUUAAUUUCUUAUGCUAAUGUUUGCUUCCGCCUGAAGGAUACAUAUGGUAUGUUUUGUGAGCGGUGGGUAUGGAUGAGUAAUGCCCUGCUACUCCUUGGGGGGCGUGAGUGA